This 83-nucleotide non-coding RNA is filed under the name Salinisphaera shabanensis. Its description in RNAcentral is "Glycine sequence". It matches the Rfam family "Glycine riboswitch aptamer". From Rfam's summary of the family: This family represents the bacterial glycine riboswitch. Glycine riboswitches usually consist of two metabolite-binding aptamers domains with similar structures in tandem. The aptamers cooperatively bind glycine to regulate the expression of downstream genes. RNAcentral also lists the same sequence under 1 other name. Lineage: Bacteria; Pseudomonadati; Pseudomonadota; Gammaproteobacteria; Salinisphaerales; Salinisphaeraceae. The record is from RNAcentral.
GUGAUCGACUCUGGAGAGCAGCCGUGGAUACCGCGGCUCACCGAAGGGGCGAAUCUCUCAGGUGCCAGGACAGAGGGGCGGCA